Molecule: ribosomal RNA, 424 nt
Filed under: uncultured bacterium
Lineage: Bacteria
Description: partial 16S ribosomal RNA
Rfam family: Bacterial small subunit ribosomal RNA
Source: RNAcentral
GAAUUUUGGAAAAUGGGCGAAAGCCUGAUCCAGCAAUGCCGCGUGCGGGAUGAAGGCCUUCGGGUUGUAAACUGCUUUUGUACGGAACGAAAAGCUUUGGGUUAAUAACCUGGAGUCAUGACGGUACCGUAAGAAUAAGCACCGGCGAACUACGUGCCGGCAGCCGCGGUAAGACGUAGGGGGCAGGCGGUAAUCGGCAGUACUGGGCGUAAAGCGUGCGCAGGUGGUUUUGUAAGACAGAGGUGAAAUCCCCGGGCUCAACCUGGGAACUGCCUUUGUGACUGCAAGGCUAGAGUACGGCAGAGGGGGGUGGAAUGCCGCGUGUAGCAGUGAAAUGCGUAGAUAUGCGGAGGAACACCGAUGGCGAAGGCAACCCCCUGGGCCUGUACUGACGCUCAUGCACGAAAGCGUGGGGAGCAAACAG